GGCAGUUGUAGGACAACAUUCUAAAGUCAGUACAGAAGACUACAGAGAGGAAGAGGUGGGCUGAGCAGGAUUUACUAUUGGAGAGUGAGGUCCUUGAAAACCAGCAUAGGAGAAUAAAGGCGUCGUUACCCUUGAGCAUUCGGUCAUGAAACUGCUGGAGAGGAAAUUAAUUAACCCCUGCCAAGGCUUCCCAGCUGCGGGGCAGGAAUUAAGCUGUCAUCCCUCUUGGAUGCUUGGAUCAGACCUGCUUUGGCUGGCUCAGCCUCUGAAUGAACAACCGGCUCUUCUCCCCUUCGGCUGCCCUUAGACUGAG
This 313-nucleotide long non-coding RNA is filed under the name Rattus norvegicus (Norway rat). RNAcentral describes it as "long non-coding RNA NONRATT033258". Lineage: Eukaryota; Metazoa; Chordata; Mammalia; Rodentia; Muridae. The record is from RNAcentral.